CUAUUUACAAUUCUGCAAUUACAUUACAUUACAUAAAAAUUAAUUUCGCAAUUCAUCAGAUUUUGGAGUAGUUUACAUUCGGUAUAAGCAAGUGGAACUGUACUACAAGUUAAAGUAUAAUCAACCCGGUUCAAAAAUUAAUUUUGUCGCAUACAUCGCUGGAUUGCUGUCUAUUCUUGGUGUGAGCGUGGUGGCGAAUUUCCAAGAAACGAACCUGCUAGUCGUGCAUGUCAUUGGAGCAUCGCUGGUAUUUCUGUGUGGAACGGUAUGGAGCUGUCUGCAGGCUUAUCUGAGCUUUAAGCUUUUGCCGGAUUUUUCAACCCGAGUUAUUGCAUAUACCCGAUCAGUUUUAAGCAUGAUAACAAUCGUACUGUGUAUACUUUUCCUAAUAACGGGAACCCUGUCUUUCUUCCAGUAUAAUGGUAGUCUGAGUGGGAGGGACAUGCUAACCUGGGCCAAAGCCGACAGAGGGACGCUUAGAGGAAUUGCAGUGACAAUUGAAUGGAUCAUGUCGUCAUUAUUUUUCGGGGUAUUUAUCACAACAUUUAUCCCAGAGUAUAGGAAAUUAAGAUUCAGAGGAGCGGAGAUUCUUUUUACGACUCAAACCCAAGAAUGCAAAACUACGGAAAAACUUGUAGUGAUGCCUGAGACAAACCUAACGUCAGAGGAUUAUAUUUUGUCGAUAAGUACGGUUGACACCAUCGCAGAAUAAAUUCAGUAUAAGAGCUAAGUACAAGCUGUACAAGCAUUUUGUCCUAUAAAGAAAUAUUGAGACACAUAAUAGGACUGAAAAUAUGAAG
This is a long non-coding RNA of Folsomia candida, 800 nucleotides long. RefSeq lists it as uncharacterized. The record is from RefSeq and is a predicted model, not a curated record. The transcript has 4 exons. Lineage: Eukaryota; Metazoa; Arthropoda; Collembola; Entomobryomorpha; Isotomidae.